RNAcentral lists this ribosomal RNA (440 nucleotides) under uncultured bacterium. RNAcentral's name for it is "bacterial SSU rRNA". It matches the Rfam family "Bacterial small subunit ribosomal RNA", at positions 958 to 1397 of the family's 1533-position model. The record is from RNAcentral.
AACGCGAAGAACCUUACCUGCCCUUGACAUCCUCAGAAGCCUGUAGAGAUACGGGUGUGCCUUCGGGAACUGAGAGACAGGUGCUGCAUGGCUGUCGUCAGCUCGUGUCGUGAGAUGUUGGGUUAAGUCCCUUAACGAGCGCAACCCUUGUCCCUAAUUGCCAGCGAGUAAAGUCGGGAACUUUAGGGAGACUGCCAGUGACAAACUGGAGGAAGGUGGGGAUGACGUCAAGUCCUCAUGGCCCUUAUGGGCAGGGCUACACACGUGAUACAAUGGGGCGUACAAAGGGAAGCCAACCCGCGAGGGGGAGCGAAUCUCAGAAAACGCCUCGUAGUCCGGAUUGGAGUCUGCAACUCGACUCCAUGAAGUUGGAAUCGCUAGUAAUCGCGGAUCAGAACGCCGCGGUGAAUACGUUCCCGGGCCUUGUACACACCGCACGA